Molecule: long non-coding RNA, 8337 nt
Filed under: Olea europaea subsp. europaea
Lineage: Eukaryota; Viridiplantae; Streptophyta; Magnoliopsida; Lamiales; Oleaceae
Source: RNAcentral
GAUGCAUAUCCACCUUGUCAUCAUAUUUCUGGUCAUUAUUGAGUAAGCAUCUCUCUUUCCAUCUUUUCUUUUGAAGGAUGAGUAGAUAUUGUGGUUUUCAUAUUUAUUCUUCAAGUAAAGGAAACCUCAAGGGCCUGCGUGGGAAUUUCGGCCUACCGGUUUUAAGCGUUUAUGAGCAGAUCGAUUUUGAGUAAUUUUAGUAAUGGUUUUUAAACUGCCCAACCAUGCAUGAAAGCUUAUUAUCCACUAGUUAUGAAAGUUUUUUAAAAGAAUAAAAUUAUAUAUAUAUCCCUUAGUAAAAUUUUUAGUUUAUAUUUUCUUUUAUUAAAUUUUUUUUUCAUAAUUGAUAUUUUACUUAUUAAGUAAUUUUUUUACAUAUUUAAGUUAAUGUUAAAUAUUUACGUAAGUAAAUUUUACAAUUAUAAGUUAAUUUUAUACUUCUAAAUAAUAUUUUACUUAUAAGUAUUUUUUUUUUAAAAUUAUAAUGUGCUUUUUUUGCUUAUAAAUAAUUUUUUAGUUAACAUAUUUUAUUUACGAGUUAGUUUUGAAGAAAAUAUGUUGGUUGGAAAUAAUUAUUUUAUAGAGGGUAAAAUUAAAGAGAAUAUAAGAAACGGCCAAUACCCGCCGAUUUGGUGGAUUGAGAGAACCGGUCAAAAUUUCACUGUACCAGUUUUGGGUGGUUUUUAAACUAUUAAAAAUCGGUAUCCAGAAAAACUAGCUAGCACCAGUUUUUCCUUCCCCUCAUAAACGGUGUUGACCAAAAAUCGGCCAAAACUGAUGAAAAUUUAACUUCCAAGCAGGCCCUAAGCUGAAAAUUGGCCAAGAAUUUCAAGGACCGAAAUUUGUUGAAGUGGAAAAAGCUUGUGCUGGACUGAAGGGUAGUCUUCAAUACCCGUUUUAUGUUGCCAUGUUGAAAGACUGAUGUUCUGGCUGUCUGUUGAUUAUUCAUUCUUCUCAGUAUGUUCUGUUAAUUUUCCUUGGGUGCAGUACUUGCGUCUGUGGGUGAGUAUGGAUUAUACAAUAUGUAUAUAUUUUAUUUAUUGUUCAUGACUUGGAGAAAUUGGUAAUCUUCAGAUAAGUCUGCGUGAGUAUCCUCAAGGCAUUGGCAAAGCUUGAUAACAAACGGGUUGCCUGUAUGCCAACUCUUUGGCAUUGUUACAAGCAAAAUUUAUUCGUAUUUAGGUCACUUGCCACUUUGAAGGAAAAAUUGCAUAAUCGGUCCCCGACCUAUUACAUAAGUAGCAUUUUUGGUUCCCAACAUAUAGAAAGGAGCAAGUGGAUCCUUACUUGUGUGAAGAACUGAAGUAUUAUUCUUCUUCAUAAUCAUAAUAAUAAUACACUAUAGUUGCAUUCACUAUAGUUGCAUAAUCUGUCCAUAAUGAUGAGAACAAAUGAAUUUCCAUUAAAUCGUCACAAUUGUUACAGAAACAUGCCUCACAUCAAAUUUCUGCACACCAACCUAAGUUGUGAUACAAAACCAAGCUUCAAAACGUUAGACAUGUGAGGCCCAUGUGAAGAUUUCAUGGAGAUUUGGAUGGUUUUCAACAAUGGGACAGAUUGUGCGACUUCAAUGAACUGUUGAGGACCAACUUGUACCUGUUUGGGAUCAAUAGUGCAAUAUUUUCCACUGAGAACAGAAAUUGUAGUUUGCGUCCUCUUUUGCUUCUGUAUCACGUCCCUGUGAUUUGACAUGCAUUUGCUGCUUCUGUCACCUGUUCUUUUGUUCCCCCUUUUUCAUAGUUGGAAAGCACUGAAUACUUUCACCUAGAAGUUAUUAACAAAUAGCAUUUUAUGGUGAACACACUCUUAUGUGAAACAAUAGCACUUUGGGAUGUCAGAAAAUUUUAAUAUGGAUAUUUGAAUGCUUUCUCAAUGUGCUUUGUUUCACUUGAGUGAAUGAUUUUGGAUCUUGUUCAAAGUAUCCUUUCUUUGCAGUCAGAAUGCUUGAUGAGGUUUUAAGGACAUGUUAUUUCUUUACUUGUGUGAAGAACUGAAGUAUUAUUCUUCUUCAUAAUCAUAAUAAUAAUGCUGUACAAUCAUUGAAUUUAUAUACUUACAGAGAACAAAUAAAAUAGGAAACUAUCCUAAAUUAAAUCCCCUUAAUUAAGGGAUUGUGAUAUUCCUUUAAUUAAGGGAUUAUGAUAUCUCCUAAAUUACGAGAUUGUAUACCAUUAAUACAAUGAUUCCCUGAUUUCCUUAUUGGGCAGAUUUUCCCACACUCCUCAAGCUGGUGAAUGAAUGUUAUCCAUUCCAAGCUUGCUAAUCAUCUUUUGAAACAUCAUACCAGUUAGUCCCUUGGUGAGCACAUUCGCAACUUGUCCAUCUGUAGAAACAAAAGGAGUAUAAAUCAGACCACUAUCUAGUUUUUCCUUUAUGAAGUGUCUGUCAACUUCAAUGUGUUUGGUGCGAUCAUGUUGUACAGGGUUAUGUGCUAUGUUGAUGGCUGACUUGUUGUCGCAAUAGAGUUUCAUUGGUUUUUCCCAUUCUACCUUUAAAUAUGCUAGAAUGAUCUUGAGCCACAAUAUUUCACAAAUCCCUAAAGCCAUUGCUCUAAAUUCUGCCUCUACAUUAGACUUUGCUACAACAUUCUGCUUCUUGUUUCUCCACGUCACAAGAUUUUCGGCAAGAAAGGUGCAAUAACCUAGUGUUGAUCUUCGGUCAACUGGUGACCCUGCAUAGUCAGAAUCUGUGUAGGCUUCAAGAUUCAAUUUUUCUCCUUUCUUAAAAAGAAUUCCUUUUCCCGAAGUUCCCUUAAUGUACUGUAAGAUUCUAUUGACCGCUUGAAGGUGUACCUUUUUUGGAUUGUGCAUAAAUUGACUUACAACACUAACUACAUAGGCAAUGUCAGGUCUGGUGUGUGACAGGUAGAUAAGUUUCCCUACCAAUCUUUGAUAAUCACUUUUCUCAAUUAGGGCAUCCUCAGGAGCUUCUCCGAGUUUGUGAUUGAAUUCUAUUGGAGUCUCAACAGGCUUACACCCUAGCUUUCCUGUUUCCUUCAGCAAAUUCAUCACAUGUUUCUGUUGUGAAAUAAAGAUCCCAUGCUGUGAGUGAGCAACUUCAAUCCCAAGAAAGUAUUUCAACCUACCUAGCUCUUUUAUUUCAAACACCUCCUUAAAGCUUCUUUCCCUUUCAUGUCAUUUUUAGUUACCACAAUGUCAUCGACAUAUACUAACAAGGUAGUUACUUCCCCUGACACUGAGUACUUGACAAAUAGAGUAUGAUCUCCUUGGCUUUGUUUAUACCCUAUUGCUAACAUAACUUUAGUGAAUCGCCUAAACCAAGCUCGAGGGGAUUGUUUUAGACCACAUAGGGCUUUCUUUAGUCUGCACACCUUUUUUCCUUGUAGAUUUGAACCAAAGCCAGGAGGAAUUUUCAUGUAGAUUUCUUCAUCAAGAUCUCUAUGUAGAAAUGCAUUCUUGACAUCAUAUUGUUGUAGACUCCACCCAAGGUUAGCUGCUAAGGAUAACAAUAUUCUUACCAUAUUUAUUUUUGCAAUAGGAGCAAAAGCUUCUAGAUAAUUAACUCCAUAAGUUUGAGUAUAUCCCUUAGCUACCAACCUGGCUUUAUAUCUCUCAAGCGAUCCAUCUGCUUUAUACUUAAUAGUGAACACCCAUUUACAUCCUAUUGGUCUCUUUCCUUUGGGUUGUUCCACUAAUUCCUAAGUGUUAUUUUUCUCAAGACCUUCCAUUUCAACUCUCAUAGCAUCUCUCCAUUCCUUAUGACCUAAGGCCUCAAGCAUAGUUUUGGGAAUGAUUAUAGUGUUUAGAUGUGUAAGAAAGGUUUUAUGAUUACGUGAUAAUUUCUCAUAUGACACAAAGUGAGAUAAUGGAUAUAGUGAAUUUUGGGUGCAUUUUCUUGUGCCUUUCCUAAGAGCAAUGGGAAGAUUAUCACUAGCAUCAUGAGAGUUAGAAGUAAUUACCUCAUUCGCAGGAGUAGGUUCAGAAUCUUGAAUUUGCAUAGGUUGAACGAUGGGUACCUUCUUCCUUGAAUAAACCAACAAUGGGCAAGUAGAAAUUUGAACCUGAUUAUCUUUUUCCAAAGUUUGUGUUUCUGAUGUAGGAGUACAAGGUGACUCGGAUUUAGUAGAAAUAGGGGCUGAAACAGAGUUUGGAUUUCUAGAUCUUUGAGGGAUUGGAGGAGAAUAUGAAGGAAUAGGAGAAUCAAGUUCUUGUAAAAAUAAGUCAUUGUCCUUAUCUUCCAUAGAUGUUCUCUCUCCCUGAAGAUAAGGUUGGGGAAAAUAACUAUCUCUUUCAACAAAUGUUACAUUGGCUGACACAUAGAAGUUUCGAGUUGGAGGAUGAUAACACUUGUGUCCUUUUUGAGUAGAUGAGUAUCCUAUAAAAAUACACUUAAGUGCUCAUGGAUCUAACUUUCCCCUGUUAUGAGAGUGUAUAUGGACAGAAGAUACACAGCCAAAGGUUUUUGGGACAAGAUUGUUUGUGGUAUUGAAGUUGUAAAAAUGCUUGGUCAGAACUUGCAUGGGACUUUUGAAACCAAGGACACGAGAGGGCAACCUGUUUAUAAGAUGGGCAGCAGUUAGAACACCUUCGUCCCAAUAAUUUUUCGGAAUGUGUUUUUGAAAUAGAAGGGCUCGGGUAGUGGCUAACAAGUGGCCAUUUUUUCUUUCGGCCACCCCAUAUUGUUGGGGGUAUUGAUACAAGAUAACUCAUGUAUUAUUCCCUCCUUCUGGAAAAAAUGUGAUAGAACUUGAUUGAAGGAAUCUUUAGCAUUGUCUGAUCUGAAUUUUUUUAUCUUGACCCCAAAUUGAAUUUUUACCAUACUAUGAAAUGUGGAAAAUACUGAACUUACAUCAGACUUAUUCUUUAGGAGAAAAAUCCAUGACACACGAGUACAAUCAUCAAUAAAUGAAACAAACCAACGAGCUCCAGAUAUAGUAGGAACAUUAGAAGGCCCCCAGAUAUCACUAUGGAUGAGUGAAAAAGGAACUGAUGUUAUUUUAUUGCUUACAGGAAAGGAAGCACGUUUGUGCUUUGCAAUUUCACAAAUAUUACAAUGAAGACGUUUCUCAUCAAUUCCUUUAAAUAACAAUGGGAACAUAACUUUAAGGAUGCUAAAUGAGGGAUGUCCUAGACGAAGAUGAUAAAGCCAAAUUUUGUCUUCAUUUGAAGUUAAAAAUUCAGAAAACAGUGAUAAAGAUAAGCUAUUCUUAGUUUCAUUUUGCCUGCUUGAUUCUUCAAGAUAAUAAAGUCCAUCUUUCUCCCUAGCAAGUCCAAUCAUCUUCCCCGUUACCUGGUCCUGAAAAACACAAUUUGAGGGAAAGAAAGUUACAGUACAAUUUAAAUCUUUUGUGAGCCUUUGUAUGGACAAGAGAUCAGUGGAUAAUUUUGGAACAUGAAGAACAUUAACAAGUUUCAAAUUUUGGUUUAUUAAAAUACUUUCUUGGCCCGUAACUGCGAUUAAUAUGCCAUCUGCUGUGGCUAUUUUCUUAUUGCUAGGACAUGGAUUAUAAGAGGUAAAUUUGUGUGAUGAAUGGGUCAUAUGAUCUGUAGCCCCUGAAUCAAUGACCUAGGAAUCUGGAAAAGAGGUUAUGCUUGAGACACUAAGGACACGGGGGAGAGGAUGCUUACCUGAGAGUGCUAAAGAACAAGCACCUGAAGUAGCAGACUUUCCCAAGGACCCCAACAAAUUCCUCAGUUUUUGUAUCUCACUUUGACUGAAGUCACUUUGCUCUUGUGGCAUGUCCUCCUCCCCAGGUUGUGAGUAAGUCAUAUGAGCCUGCCCUCUUUGUUGUCCAUCCUUCAUGGUCCAAUUUUUGUUUGACAAUUUCGGCUUUCCAUGAAGCUUCCAACAUCGUUCUAUCCUGUGCCGAGGCCUUCUACAGUAUGUACACCUUAAUUCAUCUUUGUUUGUUGCUUAAGACAUGUUCAAUUCCUCAUUCAUGCUCACGGUUGGUUGGUUUGGACUGGGUUUUUUAAAACCAGUCAUUUUUGAGACCAUAGCUGACACUUCGACGGCCUGUGGUUCCACCAUUACUCCCCUCCGUCCUUCUUCUGCUCUGAUUACCGCAAUAGUCUCAUUUAAUGAGGGCAAAUCAUCCUUUCCAAGAAUUUGGACUCUGACUGGAUCAAACACCAUAUUUAGUCCUGCAAGGAAAUCAUAAAUCCUGUCAUUUUCUUCCAGUCUUUUCACCAUGGCUGCAUCAUCACUGCAUUUCAGUUUAAUACAUUGAUAAUGGUCCAUUUCUUGACACAGAUUUUUCAUGAGAUUGGCAUAUUCUGUGAUAGUACGUUCUCCUUGCUUGGUGGCUGAAAUUUUAAUCUUGAUUUCAUAUAUCUGAGCAGCAUCAUGAACCUUGGAAUAGGUUUGUCCAACGGCAUCCCAAAUCUCCUUUGCAGUGGUUAGGAACAUACAUGAAUUGCUGAUCUCCGGUAGCAUUGGGUUCCAUAGCCAUGUCAUCACCAUAGAGUCCGCCUCAUCCCAAGCAUCAAAUCCAGGAUUUCCUGCUAUAGGCCCUGCACCAAGCGACUCAACAUGCCUUUCCUUUUCAAGAACGUUCUAACCAGCUGUGACCAUUUUAGGUAAUUCUUUCCAUUCAAUUUAUAUGCUGCUUGCAGAUUCUGUAACUCUCCUAAAGAUGAAGCAGGUUUUGUUUCCACAGUCUGCGUCUCAGAGGAGUUAGUGCUGUCAAUGAUUUCUGCCAUGGCCAUUGUGAAGAUCAAGAAAGAGCUGUGGUUAAAUCAAGAACGAGAGUGGCCAAAGGAAGAACAAAGAACUUAAGAUUUUCAAAAUGAUUUAGAGAGAACGAAAAAAAAUCAGCAAUAAAGGCUGAACAAAAUACUGGGCAAUGAAGGCCAACAAGUGAAAAAACAGAGGGUAAUUCCCAGAAGCUUAAAGCUCUGAUACCAUGUGAAGAAUUGAAGUAUUAUUCUUCUUCGUAAUCAUAAUAAUAAUGCUAUACAAUCAUUGAAUUUAUAUACUUACAGAGAACAAAUAAAAUAGAAAACUAUCCUAACAUAAAUCCCCUUAAUUAAGGGAUUGUGAUAUUCCUUUAAUUAAGGGAUUGUGAUAUCUCCUAAAUUACGGGAUUGUAUACCAUUAAUACAAUAAUUCCCUGAUUUCCUUAUUGGGCAGAUUUUCCCACUUGCAUAAGAAAAGUUAUUUAUUUUGACAGUGAAGGGUCACUUUCAAAUAAAGUUAUUCAUUUUUAGCUUUGACGUACAACUUAUUUUUUACUAGUAAACUUACUCCUAAGUAAUAAUUUAGCUUAGCCGAAUAUGACCUAAUAGAUUUUACUUAUACACCUUAUAUUGAUUGGAUCAACUGGCUUCUUUUGCUCAUAAUUGUCUUCCUUGAUGAGAAAGUAAUCAUCUGCCACUUUCCCCUUGACUAUUGCUUAUAAUCUCUUCGUUGAUGCCCAUUGUCAUUACCUUAUAUUUAUGAUGGAUAAACUGAAUAUUGCCAAUGCAUGAUUUUGUUGUCUAAUAGAUUACUAUGAGAAAAUAUGACUAUCCAUUUAGUCAAGAAUACGUAUAUCUUGAUUUUGUUCGUUCAUUAGUAUAUUGAAGAUGAAAAAUGAGUUGGUGAAAUUCUUGUGUUCUUUAACCUGUAUUGAUAAUUUGUAAAUGACCUCUUUUUAACUGAAUAGUCUUGCGCAAUUCAUUACUUCUUUUGAUUUAGUGUCAAUUUCUCUUCUUGCAGUGGGUUAAGAAUCCUGUGAUGGCUCAGGAGGUGAUUAAGACUGUUGAUGACAUGUUUGUUUGGAAGUUUUCAGCAUGAUUCUUUUCGUGUAUUCGUUCGAUGAGAAAUGCGAGUCCAAUUUGUCCACUUGCUCCACCCCACCAUCAGAAUGAUGAAGGAUUUUUUCUUCUUCUCGUUGUGUUUGAUCUCUUCAAUAUUUGCCUCACUCGUUGUCACCUAUGUUGAAGAAAGGUUUGGCAUUAGAUGAGGAAGAAUAAUUAGCUAAUAUGUUGAUUAUUAACUCUUUGGUCAUAUUUGGUACUAUGUAUCAAUAUGCAUUCGAAGUCUUCAAAUUUUGCAUGGCCUAAACACACAUAUGAUGACAUGUUUGGUGUGCAAAAUUAGAUUAUGGGCUUGUUUGGACCCGAUUUUUUCCUCCAAAAAAUUGAUUUUUUGAUCGUUAUUUCACUAUUCUAGCCAUCAUAUUUGACUUCUUCUCUCACGGGUGGACCCCACUUUUCUUCUAACGGUCAAAAAAUCAAUUCUCAAAAUCACUCCCAAACAGCCUCUAUAUUGGACAGUAUUGGAUAGUCAUUUUUUUUUUUUGAAGUGUCAAAUAGUGUUCAAUUUGUGUCAGGAACAUGUCAUAAGUGGUUUGGUUAGGCGCGACAUUGUAACUAAACUAUUAAAUAUCUUUGA